CUGCUAUGUUUAUUAAUGGGUUAAGCCUUCCCCCUAAUCCUCUAGUGGCUGUCUCAUUGACAGCCACUAGAGGCGCUUGCGUGCUUCUCACUGUGAUUUUCACAGUGAGAGCACGCCAGCGUCCAUAGGAAAGCUCUUGCCGCGCGUGCGCAUUCAGCCGACGGGGCGGAACGGAGGAGGAUCGGAGGAGGAGAGCUCUCCGCCCAGCGCUG
This is a non-coding RNA of Pelobates cultripes (western spadefoot toad), 212 nucleotides long. The record is from the annotation of a GenBank genome assembly. NCBI's taxonomy places the organism in Eukaryota, Metazoa, Chordata, Amphibia, Anura, Pelobatidae.